RNAcentral lists this ribosomal RNA (200 nucleotides) under uncultured bacterium. Its description in RNAcentral is "partial 16S ribosomal RNA". It matches the Rfam family "Bacterial small subunit ribosomal RNA", at positions 29 to 255 of the family's 1533-position model. The record is from RNAcentral.
AACGAACGCUGGCGGCAGGCUUAACACAUGCAAGUCGAACGCCCCGCCAAGGGGAGGUGGCAGACGGGUGGAGUAACGCGUGGGAAUCUACCUAGUUCUACGGAACAACAGAGGGAAACUUCUGCUAAUACCGUAUACGCCCUAAGGGGGAAAGAUUUAUCGGAAUUAGAUGAGCCCGCGUAAGAUUAGCUAGUUGGUGG